GCUUUUGUACACACCGCCCGUCGCUACUACCGAUUGAAUGAUUUAGUGAGGUCUUCGGACUGGUACGCGGCAUCGACUCUGUCGUUGCCGAUGCUACCGGAAAGAUGACCAAACUUGAUCAUUUAGUGGAAGUAAAAGUCGUAACAAGGUUUCCGUAGGUGAACCUGCGGAAGGAUCAUUA
Molecule: ribosomal RNA, 181 nt
Filed under: Eyprepocnemis plorans
Lineage: Eukaryota; Metazoa; Arthropoda; Insecta; Orthoptera; Acrididae
Description: partial 18S ribosomal RNA
Rfam family: Eukaryotic small subunit ribosomal RNA
Source: RNAcentral